GACGAACGCUGGCGGCGUGCCUAAUACAUGCAAGUCGAGCGCAGGAAGCUGACGGAACUCUUCGGAGAGAAGGCAGUGGAAUGAGCGGCGGACGGGUGAGUAACACGUAAGGAACCUGCCUCAAGGAUUGGGAUAACUCCGAGAAAUCGGAGCUAAUACCGGAUAGUUCGACGGACCGCAUGGUCCGCUGAUGAAAGGCGCUUCGGCGUCACCUUGAGAUGGCCUUGCGGUGCAUUAGCUAGUUGGUGGGGUAACGGCCCACCAAGGCGACGAUGCAUGGCCGACCUGAGGGGGUGAUCAGCCACACUGGGACUGAGACACGGCCCAGACUCCUACGGGAGGCAGCAGUAGGGAAUCUUCCACAAUGGACGAAAGUCUGAUGGAGCAACGCCGCGGGAGUGAUGAAGGUUUUCGGAUCGUAAAACUCUGUUGUAAGGGAAGAACACGUACGAGAGGGAAUGCUCGUACCUUGACGGUACCUUACGGGAAAGCCACGGCUAACUACGUGCCAGCAGCCGCCGUAA
This 524-nucleotide ribosomal RNA is filed under the name uncultured bacterium. RNAcentral's name for it is "partial 16S ribosomal RNA". It matches the Rfam family "Bacterial small subunit ribosomal RNA", at positions 28 to 523 of the family's 1533-position model. The record is from RNAcentral.